RNAcentral lists this ribosomal RNA (548 nucleotides) under uncultured Glomeraceae. RNAcentral describes it as "SSU rRNA". It matches the Rfam family "Eukaryotic small subunit ribosomal RNA", at positions 548 to 1098 of the family's 1831-position model. The record is from RNAcentral. Lineage: Eukaryota; Fungi; Glomeromycota; Glomeromycetes; Glomerales; Glomeraceae.
UUGGAGGGCAAGUCUGGUGCCAGCAGCCGCGGUAAUUCCAGCUCCAAUAGCGUAUAUUAAAGUUGUUGCAGUUAAAAAGCUCGUAGUUGAAUUUCGAGACCGGUUUACUGGUCGUGCUUUUGUACGUACUGGUAUUAUUGGUUUCUCCUUUCUGACGAAUCUUAAUGCCAUUAAUUUGGUGUUUUGGGGAAUCAGGACUGUUACUUUGAAAAAAUUAGAGUGUUUAAAGCAGGCUCACGCUUGAAUACAUUAGCAUGGAAUAACGAAAUAGGACGUUUGAUUUUAUUUUGUUGGUUUCCAGGAUCGACGUAAUGAUUAAUAGGGAUAGUUGGGGGCAUUAGUAUUCAAUUGUCAGAGGUGAAAUUCUUGGAUUUAUUGAAGACUAACUACUGCGAAAGCAUUUGCCAAGGAUGUUUUCAUUAAUCAAGAACGAAAGUUAGGGGAUCGAAGACGAUCAGAUACCGUCGUAGUCUUAACCAUAAACUAUGCCGACUAGGGAUCGGAUGAUGUUAAUUUUUUAAUGACUCAUUCGGCGCCUUACGGGAAAC